RNAcentral lists this ribosomal RNA (497 nucleotides) under uncultured bacterium. RNAcentral describes it as "partial 16S ribosomal RNA". It matches the Rfam family "Bacterial small subunit ribosomal RNA", at positions 28 to 507 of the family's 1533-position model. The record is from RNAcentral.
GAUGAACGCUGGCGGCGUGCCUAAUACAUGCAAGUAGAACGCUGAAGGAAGGAGCUUGCUCUUUCCGGGUGAGUUGCGAACGGGUGAGUAACGCGUAGGUAACCUGCCUGGUAGCGGGGGAUAACUAUUGGAAACGAUAGCUAAUACCGCAUAACAGUAGAUGUUGCAUGAUAUCUACUUAAAAGGUGCAAUUGCACCACUACCAGAUGGACCUGCGUUGUAUUAGCUAGUUGGUGAGGUAACGGCUCACCAAGGCGACGAUACAUAGCCGACCUGAGAGGGUGAUCGGCCACACUGGGACUGAGACACGGCCCAGACUCCUACGGGAGGCAGCAGUAGGGAAUCGUCGGCAAUGGACGGAAGUCUGACCGAGCAACGCCGCGUGAGUGAAGAAGGUUUUCGGAUCGUAAAGCUCUGUUGUAAGAGAAGAACGAGUGUGAGAGUGGAAAGUUCACACUGUGACGGUAUCUUACCAGAAAGGGACGGCUAACUACGUG